CCUACGGGAGGCAGCAGUGAGGAAUAUUGGUCAAUGGCCGGAAGGCUGAACCAGCCAAGCCGCGUGAAGGACGAAGGUGCCAAGCAUUGUAAACUUCUUUUGUCAAGGGACAAAAUCAGGCUCGAGAACCUGACCGAGGGUACUUGAAGAAAAAGCAUCGGCUAACUCCGUCACAGCAGCCGCGGUAAUACGGAGGAUGCGAGCGUUAUACGGAUUUAUUGGGUUGAAGGGAUGGGUAGGCGGACUGUUCAGUCAGCGGUAAAAGCCAGGGGCUCAACCCCGGCGAGCCGUUGAAGCUGGCUGUCUUGAGAUGUCGAGAGGUAUGCGGAAUGCGAAGUGUAGCGGUGAAAUGCUUAGAGAUUGCGCAGAACUCCGAUUGCGAAGGCAGCAUAGCGGCGGCGAUCUAACGCUGAGGAACGAAAGCGUGGGUAUCGAACAGGAUUAGAUACCACAGUAGGC
RNAcentral lists this ribosomal RNA (459 nucleotides) under uncultured bacterium. RNAcentral describes it as "partial 16S ribosomal RNA". It matches the Rfam family "Bacterial small subunit ribosomal RNA", at positions 338 to 795 of the family's 1533-position model. The record is from RNAcentral.